UACGGAGGGUGCAAGCGUUGUUCGGAAUUAUUGGGCGUAAAGCGCGCGCAGGCGGUCUGAAAAGUCUAUGGGUGAAAUGCCGGGGCUCAACCCCGUGCAUGCCCAGGAUACUGUCAGACUGGAGACACGUAGAGGCAAGCGGAAUUUCGGGUGUAGCGGUGGAAUGCGUAGAUAUCCGAAAGAACACCGGAGGCGAAGGCGGCUUGCUGGGCGUGAUCUGACGCUGAGGCGCGAAAGCGUGGGGAGCGAACAGG
This 254-nucleotide ribosomal RNA is filed under the name uncultured bacterium. RNAcentral describes it as "partial 16S ribosomal RNA". It matches the Rfam family "Bacterial small subunit ribosomal RNA", at positions 524 to 776 of the family's 1533-position model. The record is from RNAcentral.